Molecule: long non-coding RNA, 392 nt
Filed under: Numida meleagris (helmeted guineafowl)
Lineage: Eukaryota; Metazoa; Chordata; Aves; Galliformes; Numididae
Description: lncRNA (ENSNMEG00000019564.1)
Source: RNAcentral
AUGCUGUGUUACUUCUAUAGACAUGGAGAAAUCCCACUGAUUGGAUGUCUGAAACCAGGUGCAGACAGAAGUUUUCUGGGACACUGAGGGAUAUAUCAAGGGCGCCUACUAUGGGUACACCACUCAUUCUGAUGCAACCUCUGUACUUGGGUUCUUUCCAAGAUGCAAUCCCUGGAAAGAAUUGGUGAAACAGUUGCAAUUAAAAAGACACUUUUGAGGCUAUUAGGAUGAAAAAUCAAUCUUCCCUGACUGUCAUCUGUAAUUCCCAGCUUGCAGGUGGGCAGCCAUGUAAUUAUAUCUUUACCACACACACACACACUCAUUCACACCUUUUCUAUAUCAGGAUUGGUUACUUACAAUGACCAAAAUAUAAUUUUCAGAAUGAUAUAAGG